This is a long non-coding RNA of Xyrauchen texanus (razorback sucker), 705 nucleotides long. RefSeq lists it as uncharacterized. Lineage: Eukaryota; Metazoa; Chordata; Actinopteri; Cypriniformes; Catostomidae. The transcript is spliced from 3 exons. The record is from RefSeq and is a predicted model, not a curated record.
CAUUAGUGUUGUUCUUCACUGGAAACGAAUGUGAAAAUGAAAGUGUUCCGUUUGAAUCACAAUUCUUUUGAAUCGGUCCUUUAUUCAACUCGGUUAGACUGGUUGGAGAACUAACCAAAACAAAAUAGUUUUCAGUGUUGCAUUUUCGCCGAUGUAUUUAUAUGUAGCAAUGCAUAGUUAUCGCUUGCCUUCUGGGAACACCUGUGUGAUGACUCACACGAAUCACUGAAUCGGUUUAUUGAAGUUUUGAAGAGUCGAUUCUUCCAGCGCGCUGUGUGAACCCGCAAGCUUCGAUACCUUUAAAGCUAGAAGGGGUGCAUUUCUUCGUAAACACACACUGAUGAGUCCAGUUGAGUUCAGCUUAUACCGGAAGUUCUAGUCCUGGUUUGUUUUCUUAGACGAGUCAGUAAACAGGUUGAUUCACCUUCAGAGUAAACAGUGAGAAGAUAUUACUUUACAGACGUAAAAGAUGACCCAAAACGGGUUCGGAGGACCGGAUAAGAUGCCACUGUACAGUAAAGUGGUGUCUUCUGGACUACCACCAUCAUUCAAUACGCCGCUAAACACUGACCUGUUGAAGCUGAAGCAAGCACUUCGUGAACUGAUGGCCAGUCAUUCUAAAGGUGUCUCUUUGACUAAAGCAUGCAGGUUUUGCCCACUCCUCUUUGAACCAAAUGUGCUGAACAAAUAUGCCUCUGUCCGGCA